RNAcentral lists this transfer RNA (74 nucleotides) under Ilumatobacter sp. Its description in RNAcentral is "tRNA-Val". It matches the Rfam family "tRNA". Rfam says of the family: Transfer RNA (tRNA) molecules are approximately 80 nucleotides in length. Their secondary structure includes four short double-helical elements and three loops (D, anti-codon, and T loops). RNAcentral also lists the same sequence under 5 other names. Lineage: Bacteria; Bacillati; Actinomycetota; Acidimicrobiia; Acidimicrobiales; Ilumatobacteraceae. The record is from RNAcentral.
GGGCGCAUAGCUCAGUUGGCUAGAGCGCUGCCUUUACAUGGCAGAUGUCGGGGGUUCGAGUCCCUCUGCGCCCA